Molecule: long non-coding RNA, 834 nt
Organism: Astatotilapia calliptera (eastern happy)
Lineage: Eukaryota; Metazoa; Chordata; Actinopteri; Cichliformes; Cichlidae
Source: Ensembl
CUCAUUUGCUUCAGCAAGAGGCUGCGCUGGAGAGUGGACCUUGUCACAUGUGAGCCACCCACAUCAACAGGAUGGGAACUCAUGUGGAGUGCAUGUCAUAAUGUUUGCCCAAUCUCUCAUUGACGGUAAAACACAAGUGGAGGAGUACAACACUGAAAUCACAAAGCUCAGGUCCCGACUUUGCCACUACUUAUUUUCCUCAAUAGGUAAAGAUAAAAUUAGCUGCCUUCUUUUUCUCUAACAUUGGAAAAUGUAACUUGUACUUAAACAAAUUAUAUUUUGCAGAUCGAACUAGGAAGUGCAGUCAGUGCUGGUGUGUGAUUGCAGCCAAAGACCGGGUACACUAUGACAUGUCCUUAGCCAUAUAGAUUGUUUAUAUAAUGGACUUUGUUCAUUUGUUUUUUGUUUGUUUAUUUCUUCUUUUUUUUUUUUAAUUCACAGGUGCAGUGCCAGAAAUGUGGUGCAUACAAGCACAUGCGUUGUUCAAAGUCUGUUUGUGGCAUCUGUAUCUUCUGUGAGAGGCCGUAAAGCCAAACUGCCCGCAAUGAUUCUUGACAGGCCUAAGAAGGCCAAAACUAAAGUAACAGUGUUUAGUGUUCUGAGUGAAGAGGAGGCUGGGGAGCUAGCCCUCGGGUUUGCCGGAAGAUUGGCCUGCGAUGUCACAACAGACAUGGUCUGUAAAGGCAUCGACCAUUCAAGUGCUGAUAUGACAAAACAGACUCUUCUCAAAAUCCAACACAACCUUAAACAUGAGCUGACUGAUUCCUCAACCUUCAGUUUGCUGACACACACCUUUGGCCCCGCUGCACUGGAUUCUGUCAUUUCAUUCCUGUG